CCUACGGGAGGCAGCAGUGGGGAAUAUUGGACAAUGGGGGCAACCCUGAUCCAGCAAUGCCGCGUGUGUGAAGGAGGUCUUCGGAUUGUAAAGCACUUUCGACGGGGACGAUGAGGACGGUACCCGUAGAAGAAGCCCCGGCUAACUUCGUGCCAGCAGCCGCGGUAAUA
RNAcentral lists this ribosomal RNA (170 nucleotides) under Acetobacter pasteurianus. RNAcentral describes it as "partial 16S ribosomal RNA". It matches the Rfam family "Bacterial small subunit ribosomal RNA", at positions 338 to 525 of the family's 1533-position model. The record is from RNAcentral. Lineage: Bacteria; Pseudomonadati; Pseudomonadota; Alphaproteobacteria; Acetobacterales; Acetobacteraceae.